GAUGAACGCUAGCGGCAGGCCUAAUACAUGCAAGUCGAACGGUAAGGCCCUUUCGGGGGUACACGAGUGGCGGACGGGUGCGUAACGCGUAUGCAACAUGCCUUCCAGCGGGGGAUAUACCAGGGAAACUUGGCGCAAUACCCCAUAGAAUUACGGGACCGCAUGGUCUUGUGAUUAAAACUCCGGUGCUGGGAGAUUGGCAUGCGUGACAUUAGCUAGUUGGCGGGGUAACGGCCCACCAAGGCGACGGUGUCUAGCUGGUCUGAGAGGAUGAUCAGCCACACUGGGACUGAGACACGGCCCAGACUCCUACGGGAGGCAGCAGUGGGGAAUCUUAGACAAUGGGCGCAAGCCUGAUCUAGCCAUGCCGCGUGAGUGAUGAAGGCCUUAGGGUUGUAAAGCUCUUUCAGAUGGGAAGAUAAUGACGGUACCAUCAGAAGAAGCCCCGGCUAACUCCGUGCCAGCAGCCGCGGUAAAGUCAC
RNAcentral lists this ribosomal RNA (482 nucleotides) under uncultured bacterium. RNAcentral's name for it is "bacterial SSU rRNA". It matches the Rfam family "Bacterial small subunit ribosomal RNA", at positions 28 to 526 of the family's 1533-position model. The record is from RNAcentral.